UGGAUGGGGGGAGGAAGGCCUCAAAGGGGAUUCAAUAUCACUCAUGAAAAGCCUUUUCCAACCUGCUGUCUCUCACAAGCACUAAAUCUUCAGCAUGAGGUUAUCAUUUGCAUGAACUUACCCAUCACCUUGUUGAUGUACUAAAUAUACACAUCUCAGAGUCUUCAAAUGGUAGCAUAUUUUUUAAAAAGUGUCCUACCUUUCCACAAGCUUAAGUUACCCUUUAAUUAAAAAAUCUCGUCUUCACAGAAGACACACACUUCACAGGUUGUAAAUUUACCAAAUAAUUGCAAUGAAUAUGUAAUAGAAAACAGGAGGUGUGGUGGUGCAGCAGGUAGCAUUGCCCAAUCAUAGCUCCAGAGCUCCUGGUUCGAACCUGAGCUCAGGUUACUGUCUGUGCAUGUUUUUCCCUUGUCCAUGCAGGUUUGCUUCAGGUUCUCUGAGGUCUAGGUCCUCCAGGAAUUCAGAUUUUCUCCCACCUCCAAAAACAUACCAGUAAGUGAAUUGGCUAAGAUAACUUGACCUUAAGUGUGAAUGUGUGUGCGAAUCGUGCCCAGGAAUGGACUGGUGUCCCGUCUAGGGUGUGUUCCUGCUUCACGCCCAGGAUAGACUCCAGAUCCACCGAGACCCUGUCCAGGAUAAAGUGCUUACUGAAAGUGAGAGAGUGAGGUCGUAAACGAAACGAGUUUAGAUAACAUGGACAUUCAUCAUUGUUUGCUGUGUCUAAAUUCUUCUUUUAAAUCAGAUGUUCUUAAAUCCACCUGAUCCUGCUCACGAAAGGCUUGAUCUUUUGCUGAUUAGUGGAUCAGGAGAGACCGUAAUGGCCACUGCAGUUGAGAAACCAUGUGCUAAAACAUCUGAAAAAAACACAGUAGGUACAUGUGUCCUUAAGUUUGUGUUGAUUUUUGUGUGUAGGUUUGUAUGUUAUAAUUUAGAUAAGUACAACGUUUACAUCAAUCAUUGAUAUGGAUAAUAAUGUUCAUAUUAAUAAUAAUAAUAAUAAUUGUAUACCCUUCCUUUUCUUACUUGUAUUUAUUCAUUAGCUGAUUGCUUUAAAAGCUGUAAAGCUCACUCCAGCAGUACUAACCACAAUGUAAAGAUUCUUAAAAGUGCACAAGACCCAGAUAUGCCAUGCCAUAUUUUUGGAAAUAUACAGUAUUUAUAUAUAUUAUAGGCACUAUACAUAGACACCAGCUCUGGGUCUCUGAGCCUGGUAACUAGAACCCUUCUGAUAUUAAGAGCUCAAAAACAAACAGCCCUGUAAAAUAUAUAAUCUGUUGUUAUUUUAAUUUUAAUGUAAUUGUGUUAUUGGGAACAUGGAUUCUCUUACUGGUCAGUAGUUACACUUCUGAAAUCAUUAUAUAUAUCUGGCAUAAACAACACAUCAUGUUUUAAUUGUGAAAUAAAGCUUUGUUUAAUACAAUAAUGGUCUUUUUCAAGGACAAAUGUGUUUAAGGAUUUUUUAGUGAAGGUCAUAAUAUCAGAAAUAUAACUGCAAGAGACUGCUUCUGAGCUACUGAAGUUAUUUAUUAAAGGAAUUUCUUAGGCUUGACAUAGGCUUGGCAGAACUGAUAUAUUUAUUUUGGUGGCUUUUAUAAUAUACUAAAAACUGGGAAAUUAUGGAACUGCUCAAGGCAUACCCUAAAGACGCAAGAAUAUGAAAAUGUCUCCUAUGAAUAUUUUAUAACUUAACAUGUAGUAUAUGUAGACUGUAUGUAACUGUAUACUGUAUAUAACUAUAACUCAGCAUGGUCACAUGAAUGAAACUGGACUCAUUAAAAUGUGCAUGAAUUUCCAAAUGAUGAUUUCAAGUAGUGGUUUAAACAAGAAUAACAAUUUAUAUUGACAAAAAUAAAUCUUAUAUGAAUGUUUAAUGUUGCCUUGAUAGAAUGUAAUGCAGACAUUACAAGCUAGCAAACGUCAGUAAACAUCAACCAAAAGAUGUUUCUGUAGCUGUAUUAGAAUAAAAUAAAACUUUUAUUUAACCUUGUUGUAUGAGCUAUAUCUUAGACACAAAAUCAUCUAGAUUUACAUGCUUCUUGAUGAGUAUAAGUUGAAUAAACAUACACUGGGAAAGGUGUGGGAGGAACAGGUUGCUUGUGUAUUAGCUUAAGACUCAUAAAAUUAGAAUAGACUAAAACAUACAUUGAAAUGCUUUUCUCAUAGAGCAUUUUACAAUAUCACUAAAAUAAGAAAUCUGCAGAUUCAUAAUUGACACUACAAAAAGUACUGAAUACAGCUUCUGUAUUUGAAAUACUGUCAUAGUUGAACAACAGUGAGGCACUAUUGAUACACGUACAGUAUAUGCCAAUAAAAUAACAUGAAAUCUAUCAGUUAAUGCUAAGAGAAGGGAACAGCAUUGAAAAUUCAGAGUACUGAGUUUGUUAUCGGUUACACAGGCUGCAGUAGUCCGAUCCACUAAACAGCUGAUGCAACGGCUGAAACCGUAUCGGGUCACCCGUGCCAUUAUAUAAAUAGAAAGGUCUAAUUUCCGCUUGGUGAUAUAUAACGCAGGUAUCUCCUUACAAAAAGCCCUCCCUCCGGGGGUGGCUGUGCGCCUCUGCAGUGCCUCCUGAAAUCCCUCAACCCUUAAUCCCCUUAGCAACAAGGGUCUGUUUCUCUGCUUAGACUGAAGUAGGCCUCUGAGGCCUAGUGUAUGCCUCAGCCUGUAGGCCAAGAGCCUCCUGUUUACAAUUUCCCUAUUCCUGUUUUUAAUGUUGCUCUGAGAGCAGCCACAAAGGGCCAGUUUUGUCUAGCAGGAACAAGGGAGCUAUUAGAGGAGAGAUGGAGGGAGGAAGGAAGGAAGGGGAGAUUCAGCGAGGGUAGGAGGAGGAGGGAAAUGGGUGCCCCAGGGGGGAUUAGCUAGUGCAGCUGCUCCCUUUGGGGCAAGAUAUGAGAGGCAUUUUUAUAUCAGGAAAUAUUACAAUAAAGGACACUUAGGAUACAAGUCCAUGUGGGAAGAGGGACAGGUUAUGAGUUUUUGCACUUCAUGCCAUGCCAAUGCAAAUGCAGGGUUAUCAUUUUGGCCUCGUAAACAGGAGGUCAUCGGCUUUGAAUUGUUUCCUGAAGAUAUGACUGAGUGGAUCAAUAAGGCAGCACACAAAGCGCAUCUGUCGGAGCCCACACAAGUGAUAGUAUUCAUCAGAAGAUCCAGAGAGGAAGUGUGUGUGUGUGUGUGUGUGCGUGUGUGUGUGUGCAUGUUUUCACUGUAUAAUAUCUACUGUAUAUUGUCUUUAUGGAUUUAUUUUAUUGCUAUAACAAUGUUUUUGUUGGUCCAAAUGAUAAGAAAGCUUAAUAAUAAAUCAGUUAUAGAAAAUUUUACCAAGUUUAAAAGUCUGUAGUUUUUUUCUAAACUCUAAAAUUAUGCUCCAGGUAGGCAAACAUUUAAUUUAUUUUUGUUUUGAAGGUAUUCCUGUAAUUCUUAAAGAACACUUACACGCUGGUUAUCUGAAAAGCUCUUACUACAGACUACAGUAAGGACUUGUACUAAUUGUUUGUCAGAGUCAUGAACCAGCAUGACAUCCUCACUCCUCUUACAAAAUGUACAACUGCUGUGACAAAUUUGUGUUGUUUUUUAAAAUAGGAAAGAAGUGAAGCCUCGUUUUCUGGUGUUAUCUCCUGGGUUUGUCCCUGGGGAAGCGCAGGACCAGGCGAAUCAUGCAGCAGGCUUGACGGUGGAAAAGCACCAUGAGUUUUUCCUCUCUCCAUAUGGCAGCCAUUUGUCUUGAGGAGUUCUGCCGGACAUAAUAUGAAAAAAAGGAGCAGAACUCACUGGGACGUGAUCUCUGGAGGCCUGGUGUCCUUCACAUCCAAGAAAAGAGAGAGAGAGAGAGAGAGAGAGAGAGAGACUGCCUGCAAGUAAACGGUGACAUACAUGUCUGGAGAACUCAUGUAGGCCUUAAUAAAAACAGGCCCAGGAAACUAAUUCCAUCUGUUUGUUUGGAGUUCAUACUGGACUGGAACUAUCAGCAAAUCAUGAAAUGACAACGAAAAAAAAAGAAUUAAAUGAUUUAGAUGUAAAGUCAAGGAGAUGAGCGUCAAUCCAGCUUAACGUUUCAGGCAGUGUUCAGGCAAGUUCUGUGCUAAAACCCAGAAGGUUGUGAGGUCAAAUCCACUAUUAAGCCCUUGAGCAAAACUUUUAACCUCCAAAGGCUCAGCUAUGUGCUUGGAUUAUGUUCUGUUGCUUUGGAUAAAAAUGUCUGCCAAGUCCAUAAAUGUAUAUUUUCAGCUAGAAGCACUGAUUCAGGGAAGAAAAUACUGAAUAAUGUACCAUCGCUUUUAUCUCUUUUUUCUUUUCCCCCCUCUGUUUUGACUUUCUCUCCUCAGUCUGUUCCAGACCCUUCCAUGUGUGCAAAAAGGAUCAUAAUUAACAUUUGCCCAAUUCGCUAAGGGACAUGCAUUCUAAGCCCUUCCUUCCUGCUGCAAGUGGAAUUCUCAUUAAGUCGUAACUACUUUUCAAGAGCAACAUUCCUGCUCAGAAUGCCAGGUCUUUCCAGCAGACCCAGCAAAAAUGAAUUUCUUAACUGUGAUUUAAUUGUAAACUGCUUUGAUCUGUCAUGAAAUCACGUAAUAAAGUAAGGCAGAGGACCAUGUCUCUUUAAGAUGUUUUGGAUGACAGGUUAUAACUUUCAUGUAGAGGCAUCAUUUCUAAAUAAAUUAAUUUUUUCAUUUUCACAUUUGGACCGUACAUUUCUUUUUCUUUUAAAAAUCAGUUUUAUCAAAGGGAGAGAGAUUGCUUGAUUUGUUCAGUUAAGAGCCUGGGGAAUUUUAGCAUGUUUAUUCUUAUUCUGAGUAAAACGGAUGCCAGGGAUCUGUUGGAGCAACCUGAUGCUGUCCCUUUCCGUGCUCCUCAGUGCUGGCCACAUUCUCUCUCCUCUUACCUGGACUGAAUGGAGGAGACCGGCCUAAUUAGAAUUCAGCACUUCCCUACUUGGCUGGCUCAUUUAGUAAUUUGUCUGGCUCCUUUCCUCCUUCCCUUCGGCCUGUAAAAUGAUCCUUCUACAUAAUUUGCCCCAACCCCCCUGCCAACUUCCCCCGAAAGGUGGAUGCUAAUCCUGUAAGAACCACAGAGAGGAAAGCUGGAGGCAGAAAAUCUAAACAUGGAAGGCGGAAGGCAGCCUCGUCUUGUGGAAGGGUACAAACAUACCCACGUGCACAACGAAGUGUGUAUGAAAACCACCACCGUCAUAGCGAGCGAGCUGAAGAUCUAAACAUUAGAUAUGCGUUAUCUGAGUCAUGUUAGCUUACUUUCAAAUUGUAAUUAAAACACUGGUCGCAUAAGUUCACAGAAAUAAAGCCCAAGGAAACUGUUUUCUACAAUGUGAUUUUGUUGAUAAAGUUGGCAAAAUUUGCAAGAAGUCAUCAUGUCUUUCUGCUUUUUCUCAUGUUGGCUCUCGUCCCAUGCUGACCAGCAGCUCACUGGGGCAUGGGGAUGACCGAGGGGCCAAACAGGGACCGGAGGCACGCUUCUAGACUUGUGGAUGAGGCAGAAAAUGCAUUAUGGACUGUAAUGGUUGGCUGAUCGCUCCCAUUCAUGCCAUGAGCUGCUCACAAAAGAAGCAGGGCUGAGUUCAAAUAAUACCUAAACCUAACCCCCUCCCGGGCCUGUUUAGAUGUUCAUGAGGCACUAUUGGUGGCAGGACAGAAUGUGUGACCGCUAUUCUGGGCCUGGGGUUAUGUACCAGCGGUGAACAGCAGGCUGACUUCCUGUGUUCUAUAGAACAUGCUGCUCACUGCCAGGAAGUGAAGCCUGAAAGGCGGAACGUAGAUGCAGCGUUUAUCAUCCAGACAUACUCAGAACUUCAGGAAGCGUUUCAGUUUUUUUUUUUUUUGCAAACAUUUAACAUUUUUAACGAGCUUUAGUUCAUUUGUAGAUUAGAUUAAUCAAUAGCUUGUGAUCAACAGUAACCCUGGAAAUGGUUUUUGGUUGUUCAUUCUUCAAGAGUGCACGUCCAAGGCAUGUCAGGAAACUUUAAGACACGAAACAACAUUUUUCCCUUCUGUUUUUAAAGAACACUAAUCUCUUAGGAAAUAUAGACUGGGUGUCACUACCACAGCCCUGUUCCUGUCUCAUGUUCCAAAUCUCCCUGACUCAGUCCCUGAUUGUUCUAUCCACUCCUUCUUCAAAUGGAAAUUGUAUUUCCUAUUACUAUUGCUAAUAUUUGACGUAAAAGAAGUCCACAUGAUGUAAUAGUGAUCAUAGGGCUACUGCUUUUUAAGGUGGAACUGGUGUCUGUUUUUGUAAAAAUAUCUCAUACACAACUCCAGAUUCCUCCUACAGUUUCCUCUGAUUGUUUCAUGUGGACAGAUGCAGUGUGUCUUUAACAGUGACCUCACAAGUUCAGACUUUAUUAGUGAAUCACCUAAGGCUAUUCUUAAAUCCUUUGUUUGCCAAAUGCAGGUGUUUACUGAGAUUUUUUUCUGACGAUCUGGUAUCAUGUGUUCUUCCUACUUAAGUGUUUUUAUGUGUAAUGCAACAACAAACAAGAUAACACUGUUUCAGUCAAUUAUAAAAACAAUUACAGAUUAAUACACACUGAAAAAUGCCUCUCCUCUCCUCUCCUCUCCUCCAGUAUCUGCUCUCACCUCUUUGCCUUUCUUUUCACACAUGUAAGUUUACUGAUCCCAAGACAUCGGCAGAAAAAGGAUGUUGAUGCACUCUGGCUUACCUUUCUCUUUUCCCAAAGCGUCUCUCUCUCUCUCUCUCUCUCUCUCUCUCUCUCUCUGAUAUGUGUGUGUGUGUGUGUGUGAGACUGAUAUCAGCACUUGGAGACUAAAUGGAGCUGUACUUCAUCCUGGCUGUUUGCUAGGCCCAGCUGGAAGACAGCGCUUACAGCCCAACCUCAAAUUCUCAUUUGGAAAACAGAUAAUACAGAGCUUCAGCUGGACGCAAUGGAUUGAGGGUCCAGGGGGAGUGGAGGGUUCGUGGCUGAUAAGGCUGAUGUCAUUCCUAAACUUCCUGUGGAUACAGAACUACUGUCAGAGCUGCUGUUCUGGAAAAUUAAUCAACACCUUCAGAUUCGAGAAAUCAACUGCACUGUGGUAUGAAGAGAUAUUAAAACAAACUCUGAAAUGUUGGUUAGUCUGGACAGCAGAUGUGUGUUAUAUAUCUUAUCUAUGUCUAUAUCUAUAUCUCUAGCCUGACAGCUUUCAAAUGAAGUUAUGAUAUGAAAAGUUAGUUUUUAUGCUUUUAAAACAUGCAUGCAAAUAAAAGUGUUUUUUUAUUUAUUUAUAGAACAUGAAAAAUUUCAUGACAUUUAGCAGGAAGGCUGUAUAACAUGCACCAUGGUGAUUUAUUUAUUUUUUUGGUGAUUUAAGUGUUUAUGUGCAGUAUGUAUAUCUUUUGUGCAAUAUAUUUAUGUGCAAUUGUAUCAUAAUCUCCACCUAAUGAUUAGAGCGUUAAAGAAAAAGUGUACAACUGAAGACCCGAGACUGACACACACUGCACAGACUCUGAGACUUGAGACUUCACUCAGACUUGUGAAAAGUGACUUGUGAACAUCUCUGUCUUAAGGAAACUCUUUUUAAAAGAUUGUACAGUGUACAUUCUUAAACAUAAAGGAGCCUGAAAAUGUUCUUUAGAGUGCUGCCAUAGAGAAAAUGAACAAUUUUAUGGUUUCUUAAAGAACCAAAAUGUGUACAAUAAUAUUUUUCUAUUCAUUGGAACCACAGAGCUUUUUUAUUCUUGAACUAUCCGCUUACUCGAGUCCUGGGUGUAUUCCUGGCUUGCACCCAGUGUUCAGGAUACACUCCAGACUCACCGCAAACCCUGACCAGGAUAAAGCAGUUAUGAUUGUGCAUAGCUACAGUUGAGAAUUGUAUACCUACAAAGUGACCUACAAUGUAAGUGUAUAUAACACAAAAUGGCAAAAAAAAAGUGUAUACACAAGGUUGGUGUGCCUAAUAAACUGGCAAUUCGGUAACUGGGUUUAACUUGGUCUUUCUGUUCUUUUCAUAACCAUGCUGAGGUUGUUCUUGUCUAUUCUUCUGUUUUAUUGAAGCAUUUAAUUCACUCA
Molecule: long non-coding RNA, 8015 nt
Organism: Pangasianodon hypophthalmus (striped catfish)
Lineage: Eukaryota; Metazoa; Chordata; Actinopteri; Siluriformes; Pangasiidae
Exons: 3
Source: RefSeq, a predicted model, not a curated record